UAAGGAAUAUUGCUCAAUGGGAGAAAUCCUGAAGCAGCAACGCCGCGUGGAGGAUGAAGGGUCUAUGACUUGUAAACUCCUGUAAAGAAGGAAAAAAUUCCCAUUUGAUGGGAGAUGAUGGUACUUCUGGAGUAAGCCCCGGCUAACUACGUGCCAGCAGCCGCGGUAAUACGUAGGGGGCAAGCGUUGUCCGGAUUUACUGGGUGUAAAGGGUGCUCAGGCGGAUUUGUAAGUCAGAGGUGAAAUCUUACAGCUUAACUGUUAAACUGCCUUUGAUACUGCAAGUCUAGAGUAUGUAAGAGAGUGAUGGAAUAUCUGGUGUAGCAGUGAAAUGCGUAGAUAUCAGAUAGAACACCAAUGGCGAAGGCAGUCACUUGGUCCAUUACUGACGCUAAAGCACGAAAGCGUGGGUAGCAA
RNAcentral lists this ribosomal RNA (417 nucleotides) under uncultured bacterium. RNAcentral's name for it is "bacterial SSU rRNA". It matches the Rfam family "Bacterial small subunit ribosomal RNA", at positions 355 to 771 of the family's 1533-position model. The record is from RNAcentral.